CGGAAGUGGCGGCGGCGCCGGCCUGGCCUGGCCUGGCUGAGGGGAGGCGGCGGGCGGGCGCGAUGGCGGAGGCCGGGCCACAGGCGCCGCCGCCCCCGGGCACUCCAAGCCGGCACGAAAAGAGCCUGGGACUGCUCACCACCAAGUUCGUGUCCCUUCUGCAGGAGGCCAAGGACGGCGUGCUUGACCUCAAGCUGGCAGCUGACACCCUAGCUGUACGCCAGAAGCGGCGGAUUUACGACAUUACCAAUGUUUUGGAAGGUAUCGGGCUAAUCGAGAAAAAGUCCAAGAACAGCAUCCAGUGGAAGGGUGUGGGGCCUGGCUGCAAUACCCGGGAGAUUGCUGACAAACUGAUUGAGCUCAAGGCAGAGAUCGAGGAGCUGCAGCAGCGGGAGCAAGAACUAGACCAGCACAAGGUGUGGGUGCAGCAGAGCAUCCGGAACGUCACAGAGGACGUGCAGAACAGCUGUUUGGCCUACGUCACUCAUGAGGACAUCUGCAGAUGCUUUGCUGGAGAUACCCUCUUGGCCAUCCGGGCCCCAUCAGGCACCAGCCUGGAGGUGCCCAUCCCAGAGGGUCUCAAUGGGCAGAAGAAGUACCAGAUUCACCUGAAGAGUGUGAGUGGUCCCAUUGAGGUUCUGCUGGUGAACAAGGAGGCAUGGAGCUCACCCCCUGUGGCUGUGCCUGUGCCACCACCUGAAGAUUUGCUCCAGAGCCCAUCUGCUGUUUCUACACCUCCACCUCUGCCCAAGCCUGCCCUAGCCCAGUCCCAGGAAGCCUCACGUCCAAAUAGUCCUCAGCUCACUCCCACUGCUGUCCCUGGCAGUGCAGAAGUCCAGGGAAUGGCUGGCCCAGCAGCUGAGAUCACAGACGGAGUCUCACUGUGUCCCCCAGGCUGGAGUGUGCAAUGGCGCGAUCUUGGCUCACUGCAACCUCUGCCUCCCAAGCUCAAGAAAUUUUCCUGCCUUAGCCUCCUGAGUAGCUGGGAUUACAGGCGCCCACCAUGCACAGCUAAUUCUCGUACUUCUAAUAGGGAUGGGGUUUCACCAUGUUGGCCAGGCUGGUUUCGAACUCCUGACCUCAAAUGAUCUGCCUGCCUCGGCCUCCUGUAGUGCUGGGAUUACAGGCUUGAACCACCAUGCCUGCCUGAAUGGGCCCUUUUUAACAGGGAACCUCUGACUGUGGGAAGAGCCAUUGCUGGUGGCAGUUUUCUCCCCCAGAUCCACAUCCACUGGUGUCUCAAUUGCCCUGGUAGCCCAUCUUGAAGCAUGGCCACAGCAGACAUGUUGACCACGAGUCUUCUUCUGUAGGUCUUGUGUCCCUGUCUCCUGUGGUGACUAAUUUCAGGUUACUUCCUCUGGGGUGACUGGCAAUGCCUAAUUCUCCUUGGGUCUGGGAACCAGGCUUGUGGUCCUCCUGUGUCUGGGUUCCAGCACAGCCAGUUUCAACGACCUCUUCCUGACCUUGUAUGACUGGGUCUGGGGGCUAUCAUUGUAGUGAGUGGCGGCCCUGGGACUGAUAGCAAGGACAGUGGUGAGCUCAGUUCACUCCCACUGGGCCCAACAACACUGGACACCCGGCCACUGCAGUCUUCUGCCCUGCUGGACAGCAGCAGCAGCAGCAGCAGCAACAGUAACAGCAGCAGUUCGUCCGGACCCAACCCUUCUACCUCCUUUGAGCCCAUCAAGGCAGACCCCACAGGUGUUUUGGAACUCCCCAAAGAGCUGUCAGAAAUCUUUGAUCCCACACGAGAGUGCAUGAGCUCGGAGCUGCUGGAGGAGUUGAUGUCCUCAGAAGUGUUUGCCCCUCUGCUCCGUCUUUCUCCACCCCCCGGAGACCACGAUUAUAUCUACAACCUGGACGAGAGUGAAGGUGUCUGUGACCUCUUUGAUGUGCCUGUUCUCAACCUCUGACUGACAGGGACAUGCACUGUGUGGCUGGGACCCAGACUGUCUGACCUGGGGGUUGCCUGGGGACCUCUCCCACCCAACCCCUACAGAGCUUGAGAGCCACAGACGCCUGGCUUCUCCGGUCUCCCCUCACCGCACAGUUCUGGCCACAGCUCCCGCUCCUGUGCUGGCACUUCUGUGCUCGCAGAGCAGGGGAACAGGACUCAGCCCCCAUCACCGUGGAGCCAAAGUGUUUGCUUCUCCCUUUCUGCGGCCUUCACCAGCCCAGGCUCGGCUGCCACCCAGUGGCACAGAACCGAGGAGCUGCCAUUACCCCCCACAGGGGGCAGUGUCUUGCUCCUGCCAGCCUCAGUGUCUUGCUUCUGCCAGCUCCUUCCCCUAGGAGGGAAGGGUGGGGUGGAACUGGGCACAUGCCAGCACCACUUCUAGCUUCCUUCGCUAUCCCCCACCCCCUGACCCUCCAGCUCCUCCUGGCCCUCUCACGUGCCCACUUCUGCUGGGCCUUUAGCCCUAGAACCUGCAGGUGGUGGGGGCGGCUACCAAGAAGGAACAGAGGUCUCUGGGGAGGAGUCUGGGUGGUCCAGCCCUGAUGAUUGGCCCCACCUCCUGCUGCCCCAUAACCCUCUCUUCAUUUCGGCUUUUUCAUUUACCCUCAUUUAGAGCCAUUUGCAGAGAUUUAGAAAGAUUUACAGUAACGAAUGGAUUCCUAUAUAAAGAUUAUUUUUAUACUUUUUGCAGCAAAAGGAAAUUGUAAUAUUUGUACAGUGUUCAAGUGAAUAAAAACCAUGCCUAAGGCUA
Molecule: RNA transcript, 2708 nt
Organism: Pan troglodytes (chimpanzee)
Lineage: Eukaryota; Metazoa; Chordata; Mammalia; Primates; Hominidae
Gene: E2F4
Gene name: E2F transcription factor 4
Exons: 10
Source: RefSeq, a predicted model, not a curated record